RNAcentral lists this ribosomal RNA (433 nucleotides) under uncultured bacterium. RNAcentral's name for it is "partial 16S ribosomal RNA". It matches the Rfam family "Bacterial small subunit ribosomal RNA", at positions 29 to 507 of the family's 1533-position model. The record is from RNAcentral.
AGCGAACGCUGGCGGCAGGCCUAACACAUGCAAGUCGAACGGAUCCUUCGGGAUUAGUGGCGGACGGGUGAGUAACACGUGGGAACGUGCCCUUUGGUUCGGAACAACUCAGGGAAACUUGAGCUAAUACCGGAUGUGCCCUUCGGGGGAAAGAUUUAUCGCCAUUGGAGCGGCCCGCGUCUGAUUAGCUAGUUGGUGAGGCAACGGCCCACCAAGGCGACGAUCAGUAGCUGGUCUGAGAGGAUGAUCAGCCACACUGGGACUGAGACACGGCCCAGACUCCUACGGGAGGCAGCAGUGGGGAAUCUUGCGCAAUGGGCGAAAGCCUGACGCAGCCAUGCCGCGUGAAUGAUGAAGGUCUUAGGAUUGUAAAAUUCUUUCAGCGGGGACGAUAAUGACGGUACCCGCAGAAGAAGCUCCGGCUAACUUCGUG